CUGACCGUAGCUCAGUUGGUAGAGCGCUUGCCUGAAGAGCAGGGCGUCGUGGGUUCGAUCCCUACCGGUCAGGCCA
RNAcentral lists this transfer RNA (76 nucleotides) under Aliisedimentitalea sp. MJ-SS2. RNAcentral describes it as "tRNA-Phe". It matches the Rfam family "tRNA". Rfam says of the family: Transfer RNA (tRNA) molecules are approximately 80 nucleotides in length. Their secondary structure includes four short double-helical elements and three loops (D, anti-codon, and T loops). The record is from RNAcentral. Lineage: Bacteria; Pseudomonadati; Pseudomonadota; Alphaproteobacteria; Rhodobacterales; Roseobacteraceae.